RNAcentral lists this ribosomal RNA (431 nucleotides) under bacterium. Its description in RNAcentral is "bacterial SSU rRNA". It matches the Rfam family "Bacterial small subunit ribosomal RNA", at positions 354 to 776 of the family's 1533-position model. The record is from RNAcentral.
GUGGGGAAUCUUCCGCAAUGGACGAAAGUCUGACGGAGCAACGCCGCGUGUACGACGAAGGCCUUCGGGUUGUAAAGUACUGUCUUCAGGGACGAACGGUAAGUAUGUAAAUAAUGUACUUACAUGACGGUACCUGAGGAGGAAGCCCCGGCUAACUACGUGCCAGCAGCCGCGGUAAUACGUAGGGGGCAAGCGUUGUCCGGAAUCAUUGGGCGUAAAGGGCGCGUAGGCGGAUACUUAAGUCUGGUGUGAAAACCUAGGGCUCAACCCUGGGACUGCAUCGGAAACUGGGUAUCUUGAGGACAGGAGAGGAAAGUGGAAUUCCACGUGUAGCGGUGAAAUGCGUAGAUAUGUGGAGGAACACCAGUGGCGAAGGCGACUUUCUGGACUGUAACUGACGCUGAGGCGCGAAAGCGUGGGGAGCAAACAGG